RNAcentral lists this long non-coding RNA (1042 nucleotides) under Monodelphis domestica (gray short-tailed opossum). Its description in RNAcentral is "lncRNA (ENSMODG00000044137.1)". Lineage: Eukaryota; Metazoa; Chordata; Mammalia; Didelphimorphia; Didelphidae. The record is from RNAcentral.
GCCAUCUUGAUCGGAAGUCUCUCUGAAAUCACUUUUAAAGACUGAUAUAUAUUAAUUUAAGGUCACCAAGGAAUUCACUUAUGAAAUUCCUAAAUGAAACACUCAAGUCAGAAUGGAGUUUUAUGGCACUUUUAUUUCAAUGGGAGUAAGAAAGAAGGAGAGAGAGAGAAGGAAAGAAGGGGACAAGGAAAGAGAUUAACUCAACCUUCUGGCAGAGCCAGAGGGAGUUCAGGCCUUAGAAGGCCAAGGCAGAGAAGGGAACCAGUCCUUGACUCAUGUGACCGAUCUGAAGGAAAGCUGCCUGUGGGUCUCCUCCCUGCUCAAGCUCCUAGAACGAACUGGUGCCUAUCCCUGUCCAUAGGAAGUGAAUGAAUUCACGAACUGGUGCCUAGCCCUGUCCACAGGAAGUGAGUGAACUCCAGAGGCUGUUCUCUACCUCGCUUCCUGCGCCUUACAUGUGCCAAUGGUGGCUCAAGCUUGGCUUUGGACAGUCCAGGUUCAAUAGGCUAUUUCUGGAUCACCACCUAUUCAAAUCCACAGCUGUGAGGCCACACGCCAUGCCUUUCCCAGAAUGACCCAGAUGACAUACGAAUGAAAACAAAAAGACACUGAAUGAAACAGGAUAGCAAGAGCAAUCCAGUAAGAUGUCACCAGCAACAGCAGAAAUCCACUUGCUCUGUACCAGCAGCAGUAGAAACAGGAAGAAGAUCAGGACAGUCAGAGAGAGAGGGAAGCAAUGGCUAUCUGGAUCCACCCAGAAAAACCAGACAGCUACCUUCCUGGUUUAUCCUGACAGCUAGAGGAAAAACAGGCUCUCACUCCUCCAAAGUCCACCAACUGCCCACAACUCUUCUGUGUUUCAGAAGUUCCUCACCUCCUGAGAGCUUUGGAAUGUUUGCCCUAUCAUUGCCCUGCAGGAUCUUUUUACUUCUUGCUUUUUGCAAAGCUAAUUCUUUACAACAAAAUGGAUAACUAGCAUUUCUGCAACUAUUUUAUGUUCUAAUGAAGUUUAAAUGUUAGACUUUCAGUCCAUUGCAACCAU